CAAUGAUGUAUCAAUAAAACCUCUUGCUGCUGGAGAUCUGCUUACCUGGUGGCCAGGGUGGCAAGACAAGUGAAGCCUGACUAUGCCUGCAGCAUCCACUGUGGAAACUACUACAUCUUUGCCAUGCCAAACACAGCAUGCUUCUGGUCAGCCUAUACAGUCUCUGUCCUGGUGAGGAGCAUGAUCACCAACAGGCAAGAUCUUCUGGCCUCGAAGUUUCGCUUGAGCUAAAAGAGCUCAUCUCAGGACUUUCUGAAUUUUCAGCCCAUAUGACAUGGAAGAAGAGUUAGAAGGGGAAUCUGACUGCUUGGAUCAGGGACUGUCUGGCUAGUGGAACUUGAAUGUAUACAACACUCUUCAUUUUCAUGUUUUGACAUUUUAAAAAAUGUUUUCACUUUCCUUAUCUACUUUGACUCUAAUAACAUCCUGAAAGGUAAGUAGAAUUAUUCUCAUAAUAUGAUGAAGAACCCAAGGCUCUCAAGGGAACACCACUCUUGGAUUAUUUAGCCCCACUCUUCUACAAGAAUUGCAUACCCCAACCCCUGGAGCCCUCCC
RNAcentral lists this non-coding RNA (555 nucleotides) under Pan troglodytes (chimpanzee). Lineage: Eukaryota; Metazoa; Chordata; Mammalia; Primates; Hominidae. The record is from RNAcentral.